RNAcentral lists this transfer RNA (77 nucleotides) under bacterium. RNAcentral's name for it is "tRNA-Thr". It matches the Rfam family "tRNA". From Rfam's summary of the family: Transfer RNA (tRNA) molecules are approximately 80 nucleotides in length. Their secondary structure includes four short double-helical elements and three loops (D, anti-codon, and T loops). Further hydrogen bonds mediate the characteristic L-shaped molecular structure. tRNAs have two regions of fundamental functional importance: the anti-codon, which is responsible for specific mRNA codon recognition, and the 3' end, to which the tRNAs corresponding amino acid is attached (by aminoacyl-tRNA synthetases). tRNAs cope with the degeneracy of the genetic code in two manners: having more than one tRNA (with a specific anti-codon) for a particular amino acid; and 'wobble' base-pairing, i.e. permitting non-standard base-pairing at the 3rd anti-codon position. The record is from RNAcentral.
GCCGAUGUAGCUCAGCUGGUUAGAGCAGCUGUUUUGUAAACAGCAGGUCAUCGGUUCGAAUCCGAUCAUCGGCUCCA